RNAcentral lists this ribosomal RNA (264 nucleotides) under uncultured Staphylococcus sp. Its description in RNAcentral is "partial 16S ribosomal RNA". It matches the Rfam family "Bacterial small subunit ribosomal RNA", at positions 96 to 354 of the family's 1533-position model. The record is from RNAcentral. Lineage: Bacteria; Bacillati; Bacillota; Bacilli; Caryophanales; Staphylococcaceae.
CGGCGACGGGUGAGUAACACGUGGGUAACCUACCUAUAAGACUGGGACAACUUCGGGAAACCGGAGCUAAUACCGGAUAAGAUAUCGAACCGCAUGGUUCGAUAGUGAAAGAUGUUUUGCUAUCACUUAUAGAUGGACCCGCGCCGUAUUAGCUAGUUGGUGAGGUAACGGCUCACCAAGGCAACGAUACGUAGCCGACCUGAGAGGGUGAUCGGCCACACUGGAACUGAGACACGGUCCAGACUCCUACGGGAGGCAGCAGGC